This 374-nucleotide RNase P RNA is filed under the name Flavipsychrobacter stenotrophus. Its description in RNAcentral is "Bacterial RNase P class A". It matches the Rfam family "Bacterial RNase P class A". From Rfam's summary of the family: Ribonuclease P (RNase P) is a ubiquitous endoribonuclease, found in archaea, bacteria and eukarya as well as chloroplasts and mitochondria. Its best characterised activity is the generation of mature 5'-ends of tRNAs by cleaving the 5'-leader elements of precursor-tRNAs. The record is from Rfam by way of RNAcentral. Lineage: Bacteria; Pseudomonadati; Bacteroidota; Chitinophagia; Chitinophagales; Chitinophagaceae.
CUACAAAAGCGGGUUAUCGCUUCAUUCUUGUAAUGGAGAGGAAAGUCCGGACAGUAUAUAGUAGCGCGCUACCUAACGGGUAGGCAACUCUGUAAAGGGUUGACAGACAGUGCCACAGAGAAUAACCGCCAUUCUAAAGAGAGGGUGGUAAGGGUGAAAACGUAGUGUAAGAGACUACGAUAUGCCUUAGUGAUAGGGUGUAUGGGUAAACCUUGCGUACUGAAAUGCCAAAUAAGCAGACGUUUGAGGGUCACUUGCCCGAUGUUUGUGGGUUGGCAGCUAGAGGUGAAGCGUGAGUUUCAUCCCAGAUAAAUGAUAACCAUCUUGUUGUAAAAGACAGGAUACAGGAUCCGGCUUAUAGUUUUUGUGGUUUU